RNAcentral lists this ribosomal RNA (887 nucleotides) under uncultured bacterium. RNAcentral's name for it is "bacterial SSU rRNA". It matches the Rfam family "Bacterial small subunit ribosomal RNA", at positions 56 to 950 of the family's 1533-position model. The record is from RNAcentral.
UGCAGUCGAGGGGUAUAUUUCUUCGGAGAUAGAGACCGGCGCACGGGUGCGUAACGCGUAUGCAAUCUACCUUUUACAGAGGGAUAGCCCAGAGAAAUUUGGAUUAAUACCUCAUAGCAUUGCAGAAUGGCAUCAUUCAGCAAUUAAAGUCACAACGGUAAAAGAUGAGCAUGCGUCCCGUUAGCUAGUUGGUAAGGUAACGGCUUACCAAGGCUACGAUGGGUAGGGGUCCUGAGAGGGAGAUCCCCCACACUGGUACUGAGACACGGACCAGACUCCUACGGGAGGCAGCAGUGAGGAAUAUUGGACAAUGGGCGCAAGCCUGAUCCAGCCAUGCCGCGUGCAGGAUGACGGUCCUAUGGAUUGUAAACUGCUUUUAUACGAGAAGAAACACUACUUCGUGAAGUAGCUUGACGGUAUCGUAAGAAUAAGGAUCGGCUAACUCCGUGCCAGCAGCCGCGGUAAUACGGAGGAUCCAAGCGUUAUCCGGAAUCAUUGGGUUUAAAGGGUCCGUAGGCGGUUUAAUAAGUCAGUGGUGAAAGCCCAUCGCUCAACGGUGGAACGGCCAUUGAUACUGUUAAACUUGAAUUAUUAGGAAGUAACUAGAAUAUGUAGUGUAGCGGUGAAAUGCUUAGAGAUUACAUGGAAUACCAAUUGCGAAGGCAGGUUACUACUAAUGGAUUGACGCUGAUGGACGAAAGCGUGGGUAGCGAACAGGAUUAGAUACCCUGGUAGUCCACGCCGUANACGAUGGAUACUAGCUGUUGGAAGCAAUUUCAGUGGCUAAGCGAAAGUGAUAAGUAUCCCACCUGGGGAGUACGUUCGCAAGAAAUGAACUCAAAGGAAUUGACGGGGGCCCGCACAAGCGGUGGAGCAUGUGGUUUAUU